Molecule: ribosomal RNA, 253 nt
Filed under: uncultured bacterium
Lineage: Bacteria
Description: partial 16S ribosomal RNA
Rfam family: Bacterial small subunit ribosomal RNA
Source: RNAcentral
UACAGAGGUCCCAAGCGUUGUUCGGAUUCACUGGGCGUAAAGGGUGCGUAGGCGGUCGGGUAAGUCUGGCGGGAAAUCUCCAAGCCUAACUUGGAAACUGCGUUGGAUACUAUCCGGCUCGAGGAAUGGAGGGGAGACUGGAAUACUUGGUGUAGCAGUGAAAUGCGUAGAUAUCAAGUGGAACACCAGUGGCGAAGGCGAGUCUCUGGACAUUUCCUGACGCUGAGGCACGAAAGCCAGGGGAGCAAACGGG